Molecule: ribosomal RNA, 469 nt
Filed under: uncultured bacterium
Lineage: Bacteria
Description: partial 16S ribosomal RNA
Rfam family: Bacterial small subunit ribosomal RNA
Source: RNAcentral
GACGAACGCUGGCGGCGUGCUUAACACAUGCAAGUCGAACGGAAAGGCCCUGCUUGCAGGGUGCUCGAGUGGCGAACGGGUGAGUAACACGUGGGUGAUCUGCCCCUUACUUUGGGAUAAGCCUGGGAAACUGGGUCUAAUACUGGAUAGGACCAUGCUGUAGGUGGUGUGGUGGAAAGAUUAGUUUCGGUAAGGGAUGAGCUCGCGGCCUAUCAGCUUGUUGGUGGGGUAAUGGCCUACCAAGGCGUCGACGGGUAGCCGGCCUGAGAGGGUGGACGGCCACAUUGGGACUGAGAUACGGCCCAGACGCCUACGGGAGGCAGCAGUGGGGAAUAUUGCACAAUGGGCGCAAGCCUGAUGCAGCGACGCCGCGUGGGGGAUGACGGCCUUCGGGUUGUAGACUCCUUUCAGCCAUGACGAAGCCCUUGUGGUGACGGUAGUGGUAGAAGAAGCACCGGCUAACUACGUG